RNAcentral lists this long non-coding RNA (651 nucleotides) under Gallus gallus (chicken). The record is from RNAcentral. Lineage: Eukaryota; Metazoa; Chordata; Aves; Galliformes; Phasianidae.
AUCUUCACUUGAGCUCUGCAUUUCAGCAAGGCGACUCCCAGAUUCUGUGGGGCUGUGUGGUACAGGGUCACUGGGUCCAGCAUGAUUAUCUGAAGCAGAAGCUGCAGCUGAUUCAGCAGUGCACUCUUCUCCCUGCAUCUUAGCUAGCCUGUAACUAGUCAGCAUCUCUUCCAGAAGGUGGCGGUAGUUCCCCCUAUGAUUUAUUCUCAUUUGCCUGAGCGCUUCCACCAAUUUUCCCUGCGUUCCACUUUCCUCGGCUUCGCCAGGGUCCCCCUCAUUCUCUCUGUGUGGAUUCAGUCUACUGUACACAGCUUCAAUAAUAUUACGCUUGCCAGCUAAACCACCUCCUGGUGGUAAAUUAGGAAUAUUCUCCGCAGAUAAAAUACGAAUAACAUGAGCAAGAUCAGGCAUUCCUUCUUCACCUGAUUUCUCCAUAAUUUCUUCAACCCGUGAUUCCAAGUGCUUAUCCAACUCUGCAUCUUUUUUCACUGCCUCAUCUGAGACCUUAGGAGCAUUUGAAAGACAAACUAGUACAAUACUCAUGUUAUCACGACUCCCCUUAUGUAAACAAGUGUCCACUACCCAAUUGCACACUUUUUCCAGGUCAUCUGAUACUUCAAGUCUAGACUUAACAAAUUCACAGAGCUCUUC